GAUGAACGCUGGCGGCGUGCUUAACACAUGCAAGUCGAACGAUGAACCUCACUUGUGGGGGGAUUAGUGGCGAACGGGUGAGUAACACGUGAGUAACCUGCCCUUGACUCUGGGAUAAGCCUGGGAAACCGGGUCUAAUACUGGAUACGACCUUCUGGCGCAUGCCAUGUUGGUGGAAGGCUUUUGUGGUUUUGGAUGGACUCGCGGCCUAUCAGCUUGUUGGUGGGGUAAUGGCCUGCCAAGGCGACGACGGGUAGCCGGCCUGAGAGGGUGACCGGCCACACUGGGACUGAGACACGGCCCAGACUCCUACGGGGGGCAGCAGGGGGGAAUAGUGCACAAUGGGCGCAAGCCUGAUGCAGCGACGCCGCGUGAGGGAUGAAGGCCUUCGGGUUGUAAACCUCUUUAAGUAGGGAAGAAGCCGGCUUUUGGGUUGGUGACGGUACCGGCAGAAGAAGCGCCGGCUAACUACGU
Molecule: ribosomal RNA, 474 nt
Filed under: uncultured bacterium
Lineage: Bacteria
Description: partial 16S ribosomal RNA
Rfam family: Bacterial small subunit ribosomal RNA
Source: RNAcentral